This 528-nucleotide ribosomal RNA is filed under the name uncultured bacterium. RNAcentral describes it as "bacterial SSU rRNA". It matches the Rfam family "Bacterial small subunit ribosomal RNA", at positions 353 to 896 of the family's 1533-position model. The record is from RNAcentral.
AGUCGGGGAUAUUGCGCAAUGGACGAAAGUCUGACGCAGCGACGCCGCGUGGGCGAUGAAGGCCUUCGGGUUGUAAAGCCCUUUUAUGGGGGAAGAGACAAGGACGGUACCCCAAGAAUAAGCGUCGGCUAACUACGUGCCAGCAGCCGCGGUAAAACGUGGGACGCAAGCGUUAUCCGGAUUUACUGGGCGUAAAGAGCGUUGAGGCGGUUCCGUAAGUUGGACGUGAAAGCCCCUGGCUUAACUAGGGGAGGUCGUUCAAUACUGCGGAACUUGAGGACAGCAGAGGGAGGUGGAAUUCCCGGUGUAGCGGUGAAAUGCGUAGAUAUCGGGAGGAACNCCAGUGGNGAAGGCGGCCUCCUGGGCUGUUCCUGACGCUGAAGGCGAAAGCUAGGGGAGCAAACGGGAUUAGAAACCCCGGUAGUCCUAGCUGUAAACGAUGGAUGCUGGGUGUGGUGGGUAUAGACUCCCUCCGUGCCGAAGCUAACGCGUUAAGCAUCCCGCCUGGGGAGUACGGCCGCAAGGCUA